RNAcentral lists this ribosomal RNA (497 nucleotides) under uncultured bacterium. RNAcentral describes it as "partial 16S ribosomal RNA". It matches the Rfam family "Bacterial small subunit ribosomal RNA", at positions 28 to 507 of the family's 1533-position model. The record is from RNAcentral.
GAUGAACGCUGGCGGCGUGCCUAAUACAUGCAAGUCGAGCGAACAGACGAGGAGCUUGCUCCUCUGACGUUAGCGGCGGACGGGUGAGUAACACGUGGAUAACCUACCUAUAAGACUGGGAUAACUUCGGGAAACCGGAGCUAAUACCGGAUAAUAUAUUGAACCGCAUGGUUCAAUAGUGAAAGACGGUUUUGCUGUCACUUAUAGAUGGAUCCGCGCCGCAUUAGCUAGUUGGUAAGGUAACGGCUUACCAAGGCAACGAUGCGUAGCCGACCUGAGAGGCUGAUCGGCCACACUGGAACUGAGACCCGGUCCAGACUCCUACGGGAGGCAGCAGUAGGGAAUCUUCCGCAAUGGUCGAAAGCCUGACGGAGCAACGCCGCGUGAGUGAUGAAGGUCUUCGGAUCGUAAAGCUCUGUUAUUAGUGAAGAACAAAUGUGUAAGUAACUAUGCACGUCUUGACGGUACCUAAUCAGAAAGCCACGGCUAACUACGUG